GCAAUGGUGGUUCUGUGGUAGAAUUCUCGCCUUCCACGAGAGAGACCUGGGUUUGAUUUCUGGCCAAUGCA
Molecule: transfer RNA, 71 nt
Filed under: Loxodonta africana (African savanna elephant)
Lineage: Eukaryota; Metazoa; Chordata; Mammalia; Proboscidea; Elephantidae
Rfam family: tRNA
About the family: Transfer RNA (tRNA) molecules are approximately 80 nucleotides in length. Their secondary structure includes four short double-helical elements and three loops (D, anti-codon, and T loops).
Source: Rfam by way of RNAcentral